This 238-nucleotide ribosomal RNA is filed under the name uncultured bacterium. RNAcentral's name for it is "partial 16S ribosomal RNA". It matches the Rfam family "Bacterial small subunit ribosomal RNA", at positions 15 to 244 of the family's 1533-position model. The record is from RNAcentral.
GAUCAUGGCUCAGGAUGAACGCUAGCUACAGGCUUAACACAUGCAAGUCGAGGGGAAACGAUAUUGGAAGCUUGCUUCCGAUAGGCGUCGACCGGCGCACGGGUGAGUAACGCGUAUCCAACCUGCCCACCACUUGGGGAUAACCUUGCGAAAGUAAGACUAAUACCCAAUGAUAUCUCUAGAAGACAUCUGAAAGAGAUUAAGAUUAUCGUGAUGGAUGGGGAGUGCGUCUGAUUAG